Molecule: ribosomal RNA, 253 nt
Filed under: uncultured bacterium
Lineage: Bacteria
Description: partial 16S ribosomal RNA
Rfam family: Bacterial small subunit ribosomal RNA
Source: RNAcentral
UACGAAGGGUGCAAGCGUUAAUCGGAAUUACUGGGCGUAAAGCGUGCGUAGGCGGUUGGUUAAGUCUGUCGUGAAAGCCCUGGGCUCAACCUGGGAAUGGCGAUGGAUACUGGCGAGCUAGAGUGUGAUAGAGGAUGGCGGAAUUCCCGGUGUAGCGGUGAAAUGCGUAGAGAUCGGGAGGAACAUCCGUGGCGAAGGCGGCCAUCUGGAUCAACACUGACGCUGAGGCACGAAAGCGUGGGGAGCAAACAGG